This 486-nucleotide ribosomal RNA is filed under the name uncultured bacterium. Its description in RNAcentral is "partial 16S ribosomal RNA". It matches the Rfam family "Bacterial small subunit ribosomal RNA", at positions 28 to 507 of the family's 1533-position model. The record is from RNAcentral.
GACGAACGCUGGCGGCGUGCUUAACACAUGCAAGUCGAACGGGAUCCCAAGGCUUUUUGUUUUUGGUGAGAGUGGCGAACGGGUGAGUAACACGUGAGUAACCUGCCCCCUUCUUUUGGAUAACCGCAUGAAAGUGUGGCUAAUACAGGAUAUUCCAGGAUGGUUGCAUGAUUGGUUUGGGAAAUGGGGUGGGGUGGGUGGGGAGGGGCUCGCGGCCUAUCAGCUUGUUGGUGGGGUGAUGGCCUAUCAAGGCGGUGACGGGUAGCCGGCCUGAGAGGGUGGGCGGUCACACUGGGACUGAGAUACGGCCCAGACUACGACGGGAGUCAUCAAUCUUCUAUUCUUCCCAAUUAUCUCAACCCUUAUCCACCUACUCCGCAUGAGGGAUGAAGGCCUUCGGGUUGUAAACCUCUUUCGCGUAAUUGAAAAACCAUUCUUUUGAUUUUUUUAAUUUACACUUAUAAACAAGUACCGGCUAACUACUUG